AGUCGAACGGCAGCAUGAUCUAGCUUGCUAGAUUGAUGGCGAGUGGCGAACGGGUGAGUAAUACAUCGGAACGUGCCCUGUAGUGGGGGAUAACUAGUCGAAAGAUUAGCUAAUACCGCAUACGACCUGAGGGUGAAAGUGGGGGACCGCAAGGCCUCAUGCUAUAGGAGCGGCCGAUGUCUGAUUAGCUAGUUGGUGAGGUAAAGGCUCACCAAGGCGACGAUCAGUAGCUGGUCUGAGAGGACGAUCAGCCACACUGGGACUGAGACACGGCCCAGACUCCUAUGGGAGGCAGCAGUGGGGAAUUUUGGACAAUGGGCGAAAGCCUGAUCCAGCAAUGCCGCGUGUGUGAAGAAGGCCUUCGGGUUGUAAAGCACUUUUGUCCGGAAAGAAAUGGCCCUGGUUAAUACCUGGGGUCGAUGACGGUACCGGAAGAAUAAGGACCGGCUAACUACGUGCCAGCAGCCGCGGUAAUACGUAGGGUCCAAGCGUUAAUCGGAAUUACUGGGCGUAAAGCGUGCGCAGGCGGUUGUGCAAGACCGAUGUGAAAUCCCCGAGCUUAACUUGGGAAUUGCAUUGGUGACUGCACGGCUAGAGUGUGUCAGAGGGGGGUAGAAUUCCACGUGUAGCAGUGAAAUGCGUAGAGAUGUGGAGGAAUACCGAUGGCGAA
This 670-nucleotide ribosomal RNA is filed under the name uncultured Ralstonia sp. RNAcentral describes it as "bacterial SSU rRNA". It matches the Rfam family "Bacterial small subunit ribosomal RNA", at positions 60 to 719 of the family's 1533-position model. Lineage: Bacteria; Pseudomonadati; Pseudomonadota; Betaproteobacteria; Burkholderiales; Burkholderiaceae. The record is from RNAcentral.